AUAAAGAUGCGUUGUUGUAAAAGACGUGUUUGUAAAAGAAAGACACUUUUCUGACCACCUUGUAUAAUCGGCGCAGAGACAUUUGCGCAGCGUACAGGAUUUGCUUAUAGUCUAGAAGCGUAGACAAUGAACACGCAGUACGAAUCUGCCUUUAAUAGGGAAGGUAUUGUUCAACAGUCUUUCGUAUUCGAAAUGCGGUAGUGUAGACCUGCUACGGAAUAGUUAUCUAUUUAAACGUUACAAUUUUUGUGUUUAGCAAGUGUUUGAGCAAUUGAAUCCUCCUCUGAUACACUUCGUGAUACACAAAGAAGCUUAUUCCAGUCACGCAAUUCUUCAUAAAUUCUUUUCCAUGCUGUUAUGGUAAAGUCAGCAGAGGGAAGCAGCUGCGACGCGCCAAAGGAUCGAGUAUCACCGCGAGCAGAGAUAACCAUGUGCCGAGAAGAGUUCGACUCAUUAUCAGCAAAACUCGCUUGAUGACCGUCGGGUCGGGCCUGGAGAACCAUUCAAACCACCAACGGGGCCUGGGUGCUCCGCAACCCCCUGAGCC
RNAcentral lists this unclassified non-coding RNA (547 nucleotides) under Bombus terrestris (buff-tailed bumblebee). RNAcentral describes it as "misc RNA ENSBTSG00005038812.1". The record is from RNAcentral. Lineage: Eukaryota; Metazoa; Arthropoda; Insecta; Hymenoptera; Apidae.